This 491-nucleotide ribosomal RNA is filed under the name uncultured bacterium. RNAcentral describes it as "partial 16S ribosomal RNA". It matches the Rfam family "Bacterial small subunit ribosomal RNA", at positions 29 to 506 of the family's 1533-position model. The record is from RNAcentral.
AGUGAACGCUGGCGGUAGGCCUAACACAUGCAAGUCGAACGGCAGCACAGUAAGAGCUUGCUCUUACGGGUGGCGAGUGGCGGACGGGUGAGGAAUACAUCGGAAUCUACUUUUUCGUGGGGGAUAACGUAGGGAAACUUACGCUAAUACCGCAUACGACCUACGGGUGAAAGCAGGGGAUCUUCGGACCUUGCGCGAUUGAAUGAGCCGAUGUCGGAUUAGCUAGUUGGCGGGGUAAAGGCCCACCAAGGCGUCGAUCCGUAGCUGGUCUGAGAGGAUGAUCAGCCACACUGGAACUGAGACACGGUCCAGACUCCUACGGGAGGCAGCAGUGGGGAAUAUUGGACAGUGGGCGCAAGCCUGAUCCAGCCAUACCGCGUGGGUGAAGAAGGCCUUCGGGUUGUAAAGCCCUUUUGUUGGGAAAGAAAAGCAGCAGGUUAAUACCCCGCUGUUCUGACGGUACCCAAAGAAUAAGCACCGGCUAACUUCGU